Long non-coding RNA from Mya arenaria, 193 nucleotides. RefSeq lists it as uncharacterized. The transcript is spliced from 2 exons. NCBI's taxonomy places the organism in Eukaryota, Metazoa, Mollusca, Bivalvia, Myida, Myidae. The record is from RefSeq and is a predicted model, not a curated record.
UUCCAAAUUUGUGAGGAGUAACCUUGCCUAUAUUACGGUAUAUUACCUGAAGCUCACCCAAUAUGCAGUGUGUUCUGCUCUGUCAAUAACAAAUGAGAUGCCAUACACAGGGGAUCCGACAGAAGACAGCAGACAGAAUUCGUCGAUGUAUUUGAAAUGUCAUUGUUUAUUUGAAAAAAGUUACCUAUCCACA